GGGCCGCUAGCUCAGUUGGUAGAGCAGGAGACUUUUAAUCUUCGGGUCCAGGGUUCGAGCCCCUGGCGGCCCACCG
Molecule: transfer RNA, 76 nt
Filed under: Amycolatopsis suaedae
Lineage: Bacteria; Bacillati; Actinomycetota; Actinomycetes; Pseudonocardiales; Pseudonocardiaceae
Description: Amycolatopsis sp. 8-3EHSu tRNA-Lys
Rfam family: tRNA
About the family: Transfer RNA (tRNA) molecules are approximately 80 nucleotides in length.
Source: RNAcentral